GAUGAACGCUAGCGAUAGGCCUAACACAUGCAAGUCGAGGGGCAUCACAUGAGGCAGCAAUGCCGAUGGUGGCGACCGGCGCACGGGUGAGUAACACGUAUGCAACCUGCCUUCAACAAGGGGAUAACCCGUUGAAAAAACGGACUAAUACCCUAUAAUACAGGGGUCCCGCAUGGGGAUAUUUGUUAAAGAUUGAUCGGUUGAAGAUGGGCAUGCGUUCCAUUAGCUGGUUGGUGAGGUAACGGCUCACCAAGGCAACGAUGGAUAGGGGAACUGAGAGGUUUACCCCCACACUGGUACUGAGACACGGACCAGACUCCUACGGGAGGCAGCAGUGAGGAAUAUUGGUCAAUGGACGCAAGUCUGAACCAGCCACGUCGCGUGAAGGAAGACGGCCCUACGGGUUGUAAACUUCUUUUAUACGGGAAUAAAGUGCCCCACGCGUGGGGUUUUGCAUGUACCGUAUGAAUAAGGAUCGG
Molecule: ribosomal RNA, 479 nt
Filed under: uncultured bacterium
Lineage: Bacteria
Description: bacterial SSU rRNA
Rfam family: Bacterial small subunit ribosomal RNA
Source: RNAcentral